GGGUUAGUAGGUUGGUCAUGCCUCUGGUAUGCACUGGCCUCACUGAUUCCUCCUUCCUGAUGAGCCGUAAUGCCAUUAAUUUGGUGUUGCGGGGAAUUUGGACUGUUACUUUGAAAGAAUUAGAGUGUUUAAAGCAAGCUAACGCUUGAAUACAUUAGCAUGGAAUAAUGAAAUAGGACGUUCGAUCCUAUUUUGUUGGUUUCUAGGAUCACCGUAAUGAUUAAU
RNAcentral lists this ribosomal RNA (225 nucleotides) under uncultured Glomeromycotina. RNAcentral describes it as "partial small subunit ribosomal RNA". The stretch from base 40 to 225 matches the Rfam family "Eukaryotic small subunit ribosomal RNA", at positions 686 to 873 of the family's 1831-position model. The record is from RNAcentral. Lineage: Eukaryota; Fungi; Glomeromycota.